Molecule: non-coding RNA, 223 nt
Organism: Pelobates cultripes (western spadefoot toad)
Lineage: Eukaryota; Metazoa; Chordata; Amphibia; Anura; Pelobatidae
Source: the annotation of a GenBank genome assembly
CACACACACACACACACACAGUCAGACACAUACACGGACACAAACAGUCAGACACAAACACACACACACAGUCAGACACAUACACAGACACAAACACACACACACUCACUCACAAACACACACACACAUUAACUUUUUUUUAAUUUAAAUCCCCCCCCCCAACCUCCUUACCUUUGGGAGUGCUGGGGGGGGUCUCUCUCCCUGGUGGUCCAGUGGCUGCAGG